Gigantopelta aegis is the source of this 481-nucleotide long non-coding RNA. RefSeq lists it as uncharacterized. The record is from RefSeq and is a predicted model, not a curated record. The transcript has 4 exons. Lineage: Eukaryota; Metazoa; Mollusca; Gastropoda; Neomphalida; Peltospiridae.
UCGCGUCUAACCAGAGACGUUUUAGUGACGUCAUAUUGCGAAAACUGUCGUCUGCUAGUCGAAAUAUUCUGUUGGCAUCGAGAUGUCUGCAAAUAAUGGACUGAACCAAUGUUGGACAUUAACAUAUUUCGCAAUUCCUUGACGCCAGUUUGUCACAGAAGAUUGUUCAGAUAGUUGAAAAUUAACAACCAACCACUAACCCAUGACAUUGACAAGCAGCCAAGAUAUGUCGAUAUGUGUUCAUAGAACAGCAGCUUCAUCUACUAGAACCUUAAUUGGAUAUAAGCACAAAAUUAACACGAAUACAAAUUAGGGCUGCUUUUGUUCUUAAGCCCCAGGCGAAAUGACUGUAAGCUGAUCUGCUGCAUAUGAAAACUGUUUUGACAGGUCAUAAUGAUCUAGACGGAUCAUUAGGCUUACCAGAUUCUUCCCAGCUGGAGUACUUGAAGAUAAACUGAAAAUAAACCCGCAUGACACAAUC